RNAcentral lists this unclassified non-coding RNA (329 nucleotides) under soil metagenome. Its description in RNAcentral is "partial contains 5.8S ribosomal RNA, internal transcribed spacer 2, and large subunit ribosomal RNA". The stretch from base 1 to 120 matches the Rfam family "5.8S ribosomal RNA", at positions 35 to 154 of the family's 154-position model. The record is from RNAcentral.
GAUGAAGAACGCAGCGAAAUGCGAUAAGUAGUGUGAAUUGCAGAAUUCAGUGAAUCAUCGAAUCUUUGAACGCACAUUGCGCCCCUUGGUAUCCCGAGGGACAUGCCUGUUCGAGCGUCAUUUCACCACUCAAGCCUGGCUUGGUGUUGGGCGACGUCCUCUUUGGGGACGCGCCUCGAAACGCUCGGCGGCGUGGCACCGGCUUUAAGCGUAGCAGAAUCUUUCGCUUUGGAAGUCGGGGCCCCGUCUGCCGGAAGACCUGCUCGCAAGGUUGACCUCGGAUCAGGCAGGGAUACCCGCUGAACUUAAGCAUAUCAAUAAGCGGAGGA